RNAcentral lists this long non-coding RNA (207 nucleotides) under Ananas comosus (pineapple). RNAcentral describes it as "long non-coding RNA (ACOM_LNC016947)". The record is from RNAcentral. Lineage: Eukaryota; Viridiplantae; Streptophyta; Magnoliopsida; Poales; Bromeliaceae.
AAUAACUAGCAUGCAAUAGCGACCAAUUUUUUCGUCGCUAACAAAAAUAUCCCAUUUAAUAAUUAAUUUUAAAGCGUUAUUAUAACGACCAGUCUUCCUGUCGCUAAAAAUAAAAUUAUAUUAUGAUUUCAUAAUUCAAUAUGCUAUUUAUUUAAAUUCUACAUGAUCUUCUUUCACAUUCACAAAUAUGUAUAAAACCAAAGCUUC